This 454-nucleotide ribosomal RNA is filed under the name uncultured Parabacteroides sp. RNAcentral describes it as "partial 16S ribosomal RNA". It matches the Rfam family "Bacterial small subunit ribosomal RNA", at positions 341 to 792 of the family's 1533-position model. The record is from RNAcentral. Lineage: Bacteria; Pseudomonadati; Bacteroidota; Bacteroidia; Bacteroidales; Tannerellaceae.
ACGGGAGGCAGCAGUGAGGAAUAUUGGUCAAUGGGCGCAAGCCUGAACCAGCCAAGUCGCGUGAAGGAAGACUGCCCUAUGGGUUGUAAACUUCUUUUGCAUGGGAAUAAAGUGAGCCACGUGUGGCUUUUUGUAUGUACCAUGCGAAUAAGCAUCGGCUAACUCCGUGCCAGCAGCCGCGGUAAUACGGAGGAUGCGAGCGUUAUCCGGAUUUAUUGGGUUUAAAGGGUGCGCAGGCGGCACGUUAAGUCAGCGGUGAAAUGUCGGGGCUCAACCCGGGCACUGCCGUUGAAACUGGCGAGCUUGAGUACGGAUGAAGUCGGCGGAAUGUGAUGUGUAGCGGUGAAAUGCUUAGAUAUGUCACAGAACACCGAUUGCGAAGGCAGCUGACUAAUCCGCAACUGACGCUCAGGCACGAAAGCGUGGGGAUCGAACAGGAUUAGAUACCCUGGUA